AUUCCUGAUAACCAGGUUCGGCCGCCUUCCAGAUUUGCUGAGCGAUCUGCCACGCAGACUCGCGGCGCUGCGUAACGGAUGCCAGCAGCGCUUCUCGAGUCGCAUCUGUCGCAGCCUUCUGAUCAGCACACACGGUCAGACAGAACACCCCACACAGCAACAAAACAACGCAGCGAAACAUAGCAGCACCUUUGAUCAAG
This 200-nucleotide ribosomal RNA is filed under the name uncultured eukaryote. Its description in RNAcentral is "partial 18S ribosomal RNA". The record is from RNAcentral.